GUCUACAGCCAUACCAUCCUGAAUGCACACGAUCUCAUCUGAUCUCAGAAGCUAAGCAGGGUUGGGUCUGGUUAGUACUUGGAUGGGAGACUGUAGGUGCUGUAGGCU
This 108-nucleotide ribosomal RNA is filed under the name Monodelphis domestica (gray short-tailed opossum). The record is from RNAcentral. Lineage: Eukaryota; Metazoa; Chordata; Mammalia; Didelphimorphia; Didelphidae.